Molecule: ribosomal RNA, 929 nt
Filed under: uncultured Sutterella sp.
Lineage: Bacteria; Pseudomonadati; Pseudomonadota; Betaproteobacteria; Burkholderiales; Sutterellaceae
Description: bacterial SSU rRNA
Rfam family: Bacterial small subunit ribosomal RNA
Source: RNAcentral
AGAGUUUGAUCCUGGCUCAGAUUGAACGCUGGCGGCAUGCUUUACACAUGCAAGUCGAACGGCAGCGGGGGUUUAAGCUUGCUUAGACCUGCCGGCGAGUGGCGAACGGGUGAGUACAACAUCGGAACGUGUCCGAUUGUGGGGGACAACUGCUCGAAAGGGUAGCUAAUACCGCAUAAGACCUGAGGGUGAAAGUGGGGGAUCGCAAGACCUCACGCGAACGGAGCGGCCGAUGACUGAUUAGGUAGUUGGUGAGGUAAAGGCCCACCAAGCCGACGAUCAGUAGCUGGUCUGAGAGGACGACCAGCCACACUGGAACUGAGACACGGUCCAGACUCCUACGGGAGGCAGCAGUGGGGAAUUUUGGACAAUGGGGGAAACCCUGAUCCAGCCAUGCCGCGUGCGGGAAGAAGGCCUUCGGGUUGUAAACCGCUUUUGUCAGGGACGAAAAGUCGUAUUUGAACAAAGUACGAUGCUGACGGUACCUGAAGAAUAAGCACCGGCUAACUACGUGCCAGCAGCCGCGGUAAUACGUAGGGUGCAAGCGUUAAUCGGAAUUACUGGGCGUAAAGCGUGCGCAGGCGGUUGGAUAAGACAGAUGUGAAAUCCCCGGGCUUAACCUGGGAACAGCAUUUGUGACUGUCUGACUGGAGUAUGUCAGAGGGGGGUGGAAUUCCACGUGUAGCAGUGAAAUGCGUAGAUAUGUGGAAGAACACCGAUGGCGAAGGCAGCCCCCUGGGGCAAAACUGACGCUCAUGCACGAAAGCGUGGGGAGCAAACAGGAUUAGAUACCCUGGUAGUCCACGCCCUAAACGAUGUCUACUGGUUGUUGGGGAGUUAAAUCCUCAGUAACGAAGCCAACGCGUGAAGUAGACCGCCUGGGGAGUACGGUCGCAAGAUUAAAACUCAAAGGAAUUGACGGGGACCCG